UAAGUGUGAUGAUGGUGGCUUAUGCCUAGUCUAGCUUAGAUGUUUAUCGACAUC
Regulatory RNA element from Lactobacillus iners DSM 13335, 54 nucleotides. It matches the Rfam family "L17 ribosomal protein downstream element". NCBI's taxonomy places the organism in Bacteria, Bacillati, Bacillota, Bacilli, Lactobacillales, Lactobacillaceae. The record is from Rfam.